This 72-nucleotide transfer RNA is filed under the name Heterostelium pallidum. Its description in RNAcentral is "tRNA-Met". It matches the Rfam family "tRNA". From Rfam's summary of the family: Transfer RNA (tRNA) molecules are approximately 80 nucleotides in length. Their secondary structure includes four short double-helical elements and three loops (D, anti-codon, and T loops). Further hydrogen bonds mediate the characteristic L-shaped molecular structure. tRNAs have two regions of fundamental functional importance: the anti-codon, which is responsible for specific mRNA codon recognition, and the 3' end, to which the tRNAs corresponding amino acid is attached (by aminoacyl-tRNA synthetases). tRNAs cope with the degeneracy of the genetic code in two manners: having more than one tRNA (with a specific anti-codon) for a particular amino acid; and 'wobble' base-pairing, i.e. permitting non-standard base-pairing at the 3rd anti-codon position. Lineage: Eukaryota; Evosea; Eumycetozoa; Acytosteliales; Acytosteliaceae. The record is from RNAcentral.
CAGGGGAUAGAAUAAUAGGUAGUUUAAAGGAGUCAUGAUCCUUCGGUGUGGGUUCGAAUCCUACUCCCCGCA